CAUUCAAGUUUAUGUCAAACAAAAUAUGACUGACAGAACUCAUCAACUUCUAGAUGCUCGAUCAAAGGGCAGAUACACAGUGGUGGGUGUUUUGUCCCAGCCUCAAGCCGUCAAUCCAUUUUGAUCAAUAUAUCUAGUAGAAGUAAGCAUGCAGAUCAUUGUCUUCGAGGCCGG
Molecule: long non-coding RNA, 174 nt
Organism: Zingiber officinale
Lineage: Eukaryota; Viridiplantae; Streptophyta; Magnoliopsida; Zingiberales; Zingiberaceae
Exons: 3
Source: RefSeq, a predicted model, not a curated record